Molecule: ribosomal RNA, 1416 nt
Filed under: uncultured bacterium
Lineage: Bacteria
Description: bacterial SSU rRNA
Rfam family: Bacterial small subunit ribosomal RNA
Source: RNAcentral
GUCGAAGAGGCAUCGGGGAGAGUGCUUGCACUCUCUGCCGGCGACUGGCGCACGGGUGAGUAACACGUAUGCAACCUGCCCUCCACAGGGGGACAACCUUCCGAAAGGGAGGCUAAUCCCGCGUAUAUGGUACCGGGGCAUCCCGGGGUCAGGAAAGGGUAACACCGGUGGAGGAUGGGCAUGCGGCGCAUUAGGCAGACGGCGGUGUAACGGACCACCGUACCGACGAUGCGUAGGGGUUCUGASAGGAAGGUCCCCCACACUGGUACUGAGACACGGACCAGACUCCUACGGGAGGCAGCAGUGAGGAAUAUUGGUCAAUGGGCGGGAGCCUGAACCAGCCAAGCCGCGUGAAGGAAUAAGGCCCUACGGGUCGUAAACUUCUUUUGUCAGGGAACAAAAGCGAGUAUGUAUACUAGUCUGAGUGUACCUGAAGAAAAAGCAUCGGCUAACUCCGUGCCAGCAGCCGCGGUAAUACGGAGGAUGCGAGCGUUAUCCGGAUUUAUUGGGUUUAAAGGGUGCGUAGGCGGUUCGGAAAGUCAGCGGUAAAAGCCCGGGGCUCAACCCCGGCGAGCCGUUGAAACUGACGGACUAGAGAAGGCGAGAGGUACGCGGAAUGCGCAGUGUAGCGGUGAAAUGCAUAGAUAUUGCGCAGAACUCCGAUUGCGAAGGCAGCGUACUGGCGUCUGACUGACGCUGAGGCACGAAAGCGUGGGGAUCGAACAGGCUUAGAUACCCUGGUAGUCCACGCAGUAAACGAUGAAUGCCGGCUGUUUGGGAUAAAUGAGUCCUGAGCGGCGAAGCGAAAGCGAUAAGCAUUCCACCUGGGGAGUACGCCGGCAACGGUGAAACUCAAAGGAAUUGACGGGGGCCGCACAAGCGGAGGAACAUGUGGUUUAAUUCGAUGAUACGCGAGGAACCUUACCCGGGCUCAAACGCAACGCGAAUACUUUUGAAAGGAGGUAGCCAGCAAUGGCGCGUUGCGAGGUGCUGCAUGGUUGUCGUCAGCUCGUGCCGUGAGGUGUCGGCUUAAGUGCCAUAACGAGCGCAACCCCUACCGCCAGUUGCCAACAGGUAAAGCUGGGAACUCUGGCGGGACUGCCGGCGCAAGCUGUGAGGAAGGCGGGGAUGACGUCAAAUCAGCACGGCCCUUACGUCCGGGGCGACACACGUGUUACAAUGGCAGGUACAGCGGGAAGCCACCGAGCGAUCGGGAGCGGAACCCGAAAACCUGUCUCAGUUCGGAUUGGAGUCUGCAACCCGACUCCAUGAAGCUGGAUUCGCUAGUAAUCGCGCAUCAGCCACGGCGCGGUGAAUACGUUCHCCGGGCCUUGUACACACCGCCCGUCAAGCCAUGGAAGCCGGGAGUGCCUGAAGSUGCGUGACCSCAAGGAGCVCSCUAAGGCAGCACUGGUG